Molecule: ribosomal RNA, 234 nt
Filed under: Goniomonas pacifica
Lineage: Eukaryota; Cryptophyceae; Goniomonadida; Goniomonadaceae
Description: partial Eukaryotic large subunit ribosomal RNA
Rfam family: Eukaryotic large subunit ribosomal RNA
Source: RNAcentral
AGCGGGGAAAGAAGACCCUGUUGAGCUUGACUCUAGUUUGACAUUGUGAAAAGACAUAGAGGGUGUAGAAUAGGUGGGAGAGCAAUCGCCGGUGAAAUACCACUACCUUUAUAGUUUUUUUACUUAUUCAAUGAAGCGGAACUGGGUUUUACCGCCCAACUUCUGGCGUUAAGGUCGUUUACCGGCCGAUCCGGGUUGAAGACAUUGUCAGGUGGGGAGUUUGGCUGGGGCGGC